RNAcentral lists this long non-coding RNA (223 nucleotides) under Brassica rapa (field mustard). Its description in RNAcentral is "long non-coding RNA (BRAP_LNC002180)". The record is from RNAcentral. Lineage: Eukaryota; Viridiplantae; Streptophyta; Magnoliopsida; Brassicales; Brassicaceae.
CUCAUUGUUUUGCAAUAAUUAGGAAUAAUAGAACAUUAAUAUUUCUGUUUUUAUUUUGCUAACAUGAUCAUGUCAUCAUAUGUAAUAGGUAUGAUCAUUAUAUAAAUGGGAAAACUACUUAUAAAUAUAAAUUUUACACAAAUAGCCAAAAAGUCUUAAUUACUUCUUUUUCGAUCAGACAGACUUACUUACUUCAAUAAACAUAAAUCACCAAGUUAUAAAU